AUUGAACGCUGGCGGAAUGCUUUACACAUGCAAGUCGAGCGGCAGCGCGGGGCAACCUGGCGGCGAGCGGCGAACGGGUGAGUAACAUAUCGGAACGUACCCAGUCGUGGGGGAUAACUAUCCGAAAGGAUAGCUAAUACCGCAUACGACCUGAGGGUGAAAGCGGGGGACCGAAAGGCCUCGCGCGAUUGGAGCGGCCGAUAUCGGAUUAGCUAGUUGGUGAGGUAAAGGCUCACCAAGGCGACGAUCCGUAGCUGGUCUGAGAGGACGACCAGCCACACUGGAACUGAGACACGGUCCAGACUCCUACGGGAGGCAGCAGUGGGGAAUUUUGGACAAUGGGGGCAACCCUGAUCCAGCCAUUCCGCGUGAGUGAAGAAGGCCUCGG
RNAcentral lists this ribosomal RNA (388 nucleotides) under uncultured bacterium. RNAcentral describes it as "bacterial SSU rRNA". It matches the Rfam family "Bacterial small subunit ribosomal RNA", at positions 29 to 420 of the family's 1533-position model. The record is from RNAcentral.